UACGGGGGGGGCAAGCGUUGUUCGGAAUUACUGGGCGUAAAGGGCUCGUAGGCGGCCAACUAAGUCAGACGUGAAAUCCCUCGGCUUAACCGGGGAACUGCGUCUGAUACUGGAUGGCUUGAAUCCGGGAGAGGGAUGCGGAAUUCCCGGUGUAGUGGUGAAAUGCGUAGAGAUCGGGAGGAACACCCGUGGCGAAGGCGGCCAACUGGGAUACACCUGACGCUGAGGCACGAAAGCGUGGGGAGCAAACAGG
RNAcentral lists this ribosomal RNA (253 nucleotides) under uncultured bacterium. Its description in RNAcentral is "partial 16S ribosomal RNA". It matches the Rfam family "Bacterial small subunit ribosomal RNA", at positions 524 to 776 of the family's 1533-position model. The record is from RNAcentral.